This 27-nucleotide non-coding RNA is filed under the name Bombyx mori (domestic silkworm). Lineage: Eukaryota; Metazoa; Arthropoda; Insecta; Lepidoptera; Bombycidae. The record is from RNAcentral.
AAACUCAAAAACCCACAGAUUGGUUUC